CCUACGGGAGGCAGCAGUGGGGAAUAUUGGGCAAUGGGCGCAAGCCUGACCCAGCAACGCCGCGUGAAGGAAGAAGGCUUUCGGGUUGUAAACUUCUUUUCUCAGGGACGAAGCAAGUGACGGUCCCUGAGGAAUAAGCCACGGCUAACUAGGUGCCAGCAGCCGCGGUAAUACGUAGGUGGCAGGCGUUAUUCGGAUUUACUGGGUGUAAAGGGCGUGUAGGCGGGACUGCAAGUCAGAUGUGAAAACCACGGGCUCAACCUGUGGCCUGCCUUUGAAACUGUAGGUCUUGAGUACUGGAGAGGCAGACGGAAGUCGUAGUGGAGCGGUGAAAUGCGUAGAUAUUAGGAAGAACACCAGUGGCGAAGGCGGUCUGCUGGACAGCAACUGACGCUGAGGCGCGAAAGCGUGGGGAGCAAACAGGAUUAGAUACCCGGGUAGUC
This 443-nucleotide ribosomal RNA is filed under the name uncultured bacterium. Its description in RNAcentral is "partial 16S ribosomal RNA". It matches the Rfam family "Bacterial small subunit ribosomal RNA", at positions 338 to 795 of the family's 1533-position model. The record is from RNAcentral.